RNAcentral lists this long non-coding RNA (870 nucleotides) under Equus asinus (donkey). Its description in RNAcentral is "lncRNA (ENSEASG00005034908.1)". The record is from RNAcentral. Lineage: Eukaryota; Metazoa; Chordata; Mammalia; Perissodactyla; Equidae.
GCAGAAUGUCAGUUUAGUCAGUUAGAACUUUCAAUGCAGAAAUUCAGUGCCAUGCAGUCACGCAGAUCGAGAGCAGCACUUACCUUAAUUGAAAUAUUCUCUGUGAACGAGCAUAUUCAAGGUCUUUCUUCCGAAUAUGGGCAAACAAGACACUGAGUAGAAAGAAUAUGCCACUUAGACCUGAAACCACUUUACUACCCUGACUGUGGACAUCAAUGAACAGCUCUAAAACUUGAAGUGUAAGAAGACUUAACUUACGUUAAAACAAGGAUACUAGUUGAAGAUGAGAAGACAUGGUUUCUGUCUUCCAGGAACUCUCAAUCAAUUGGAAAGACUGCUAUGAAAACAACUUUAUAAUACAAAUUGGGAAAAAAUGUGCUAAAAUAGAAACUAACUCAAUUGGUGUCCCCCUGACUCUGGACAAUAACAGCCUCCACUCAAAAGGAGUGUUUCCUAUGCUCAAGGAGCUCUAAGAUAGGAUAGAAGGGAGAGGAAAUUUGGACAUGAGCGGAGACACCGGGAAUGUACCUACAGAGAAAAGAACAUGUGAAGACUCAGCAAGAAAGACGCCAUCUGCCAGCCAAGGACAAGUCUCAGAAGAAAGAAAACCUGCCAACACCUUGAUCAGGGACUUCUAACCUCUGGAACAGUUUAAGGAAAAUGAGACUCAGCAUGAGAGAGAAAGAGGUUGGAGGUGGACAUACGAAGAAUCAACUGGUUAAAAAUGAAGUGUUUUAAGUCACAGAAGAGCUUUAAACAAUCCAUUUGCCUAAGAACCAUCUGUGUGACAUCAACAAACUUACUUUACCUCUCUGAGUUUUAUUUACCAAAUAUUUAAAAUGUUACUAAUAAAACAUCAUAGAAAUUAAA